Rhincodon typus (whale shark) is the source of this 2874-nucleotide long non-coding RNA. RefSeq lists it as uncharacterized. NCBI's taxonomy places the organism in Eukaryota, Metazoa, Chordata, Chondrichthyes, Orectolobiformes, Rhincodontidae. The record is from RefSeq and is a predicted model, not a curated record. The transcript has 4 exons.
AAUCAACAGUGAUCUUCUUUAGAUUCGUGUCGUCGAGCUAUCCAUCAACUGUAGUUGGUGCGGCCUAUUGUCCUGUAGUUGCGACGAAUUGUCGGAUUUGCUGUCAAUCUAUUGAGGUUCGGGCACGAGGUGCUGCAGGAUUGGUCCUGAAAUAGCUGCUGCGUUGUCAUGAGAACCUGCGUCGCUCAAGUACGUUCUGAGAUUUGUGAAUGGUGAGACAAGCUGUCAAUCAAUCAUCUUUGCCCCGAGGCUUACAGCAGUUUCUGACUCGUUGGACUACUUGUCAAUUAUCGAGCACCCAGCUAUAAAUAAGGUCACUUGGGAUGUGAAAGACAAUACAACGUGGAGGUGGAGGAACACAGCAGGCCAAGCAGCAUCAGAGGAGCAGGAAAGUUGACAUUUCAGAAGAGGACUGCUGCAGACAACAAAAGACUACAUAUGUAAAUUCAGUCCUGUUCGCAAAGUCCUGAGUGGGACCCAUGGAAUGUUGCGCCUGUAGAAUGUAAGGGGAACUUCAAACAAUGAGAGAGAGAUGUAACAGGACGACAUAAUUUAGGAUCAGAUAAUCUUCCUCAUUCAGCAGAAAGCCACAACUUGCAGAUAUUUUUUGAAUUUUGACUUUUAUGAAUAUACAAAAAAUAUUUAAAAAUUGACUGUAAUCCUGGUCUGCAUGUGCUACUGAAAGAAUGAAUGCUAAUGAACUGAGGCAUCCAUGUAUACUAACCUGGGUUCAAGUGCAUGUGUGCAUGAAGUUAAUAGCGAUAGGACCACAUUUAGUCGUGCUUGUAUUGCAGAUAAAAGGACUCUGCAGUCCUUUGUGCUGCCAGUAAACCCAUGGUGAGAGAAAACAGGUCAAAAGGAUGUCAACUAACUGUAAAAGCCAAAAAUUGCUAAAUCAACUGUUCAGAUAUCUAUUUUCCACUAUCUAUUCUUCACAAGACACCCAGAGAGACUGAUCCAUAUAUCUUUUAACCUUUUUGGACUCACUUCCUGUUCUUAAUCUCUGUGUAUCUGUGUUGCUUUAUUAUUCUUCUCAUGUUCAGUAACUAAUAAAUUGGCAUUUUCAUUAACUCAAAGAUGGUUAUAUUGACUCCCUUUUAAACAUUGUUCCUUUCGUCUGGGAGAAAGUUGUGCUUUUUAAUUGAAUCUUGUUCUGAAUGACCAUGGAGGCAGGUGAUUAAAGAAAGGGAGCCAGUUGUCCAUAUGGAAACUUUGCUUUGGAUUUGAUCAUUACACCAGGUAAAAAUUAAAAAUGAUGUAUGGUUCCAUGAAAAGUAGACAUUGGGACAUCGCAGCCAUUAUGUUGCAUGAUGCAGUAGCACUGAUGUUGGUCGAUGAGCAGCUGAUUUCAAGAUGCUAAGCUAAACACACCUUUGCAUAUAUCUUUUGAUUGUGGUUUCCCUUGCCUUUAGGUUCCCAGCAAAAGAGAGAGACUUCUCUUUCUAUCGUCAAUGUAAUGAUCCCUAAAAGGUUUUCUUAGUUGGAUCCUAACAGCACACACUUUCACCCACUAACAUACACAAACCAGGAUUCAAACUGGCUUUUAACCCCUGUUCAUGUAUUCUUGAAAGGGGAGUACACAAAAAUGUCUCUCACUCAGAUACUCUCUUUGCUCUCAUCAUUUUCACAAUCAGAGAUAACUCAUAGAUUACAGUUCAGUUUGAAGUGCAUUUCAUCCUUUUGAAAUCCUUGUUUUUGAAGCCUCCUUGGCUCUUGUUAGUUGUGACCUUUCGUGGUACCCUGGGAAAUUGGGAAAAUCCACACAGAUCUUUCAGACAGUCUCUGGAUUACAUUGCACAAAAUUUACAUUCUCAGUCAUUUUUCUAAUCAACACGUGUUGUAAUUAUAGUUCAAUAUAUCAGUAAUUAAAACAUGGCUAUGAUCUAUCACCAUAGUUAGUGCUAAAACCGUCAUCUGUGCCUUUGAUACUUGCAGCCUUGAUUAUUUCAAUACUUCUCUGAUAGAUUGCAAUCUUCAUAAACUUUAAUGUAUUAAAAACACCACCAAGCUUGUUCACCUCUGUGCUUGCUGACCUAUAUUGGCUCCCUGUCCAUCAACAUCAUAAUUCUCAUCUAAGUUUUGAAUUUCCUCAAGACUUUCCUCCAUAUCUCUGUAACCUUCUCCAAGCAUCAAGAAGGGACAGAUAAUAUUCAUUACACACAAGUGGCAGGCAAUGACCAUUUCCCACAUGACAGAAUCUAACCAUUUUGCCUAGAUAUUCGAUGGCAAACAUUGCUCAAAUCCCUCAGUUAACAAAAAAAACUUUGAUUUGAUUUGAUUUGAUUUAUUUAUUGUCACGUGUAGCUAAGAACAGUGAAAAGCUUUGUUUAUGAGCAGUGGAGGCAGGUCAUAAUAACCAAGGACAUACGGAUCAUAGGAUAAAAAAAAAAUUAAACAGAGGCAUACAGUUUAUGAAGUAUAGGCUGUACGCUAGGCAAGAUCAAUAAUAGUAAGAUCAGCAUUAUUUGGAGUUAGAGAGUCCAUUCAUCAGCCCAAUAUUGAACAGGAAGAAGCUGUUCCUGAACCAGCUGGUGCAUGUGUUCAAGCUUCAGUAACUUCUGCCUGAUGGAAGAGGUUGUACGAGAGCAUCGCCAGGUGUGAUGGGUCUUUGAUGAUGCUGGCAGCCUUUUGCAGCAACAAGCCAUGGAGACAGAUGAAGGAUUCCAGGCCUGCUGUACCAAACCUGGCCACCACAAACCACAACCUGCAGUGCCGUAAAAGUGAAAUGAAAGAACAUUUAAUCACUCUUAGACCUGUUCUGCUCAGUCCACGUGGGGGAAGCAACAUGCAACUGUUUAUAAGUGACAAGGUUCUCAAAUGAAAAUGCAUAUACAAAGAAUAAAAGGAGAGAAGGGUGGGUUCUAUUGUUAAACA